This 372-nucleotide ribosomal RNA is filed under the name uncultured Glomeromycotina. RNAcentral describes it as "eukaryotic LSU rRNA". The record is from RNAcentral. Lineage: Eukaryota; Fungi; Glomeromycota.
UUGAAAGGGAAACGAUUGAAGUCAGUCGUACCGGCGGGUAAUCAGCCUUUCGGGUAUGAUUCUGUGGAGCGUGAGGAGUUAAACGCCUUCAUGCCUGCAUAUUCGUGCUCUUGGGUGUACUUGCUCGUGUGGUUGGUUAACAUCAAUCUCGGUUAUCAUAAAAUGGCUGGAGGAAUGUAGCUUCGAUCUCGUAUUGAAGUGUUAUAGCCUUCGGCAGAUGUGAUGAUCGGGAUUGAGGAUUGCAACGGAUACCCUUCGGGGCUACCUGUCUGGUCUCUGAUCGUUGCUUUGGUGCCGAAAGCGUGCUUACGGUUAUCAAAGUCGAUGGUCAAUAGGUUAGAACGGGUUAAAUUCGUUAAGGAUGUUGACGUA